Molecule: ribosomal RNA, 519 nt
Filed under: uncultured eukaryote
Lineage: Eukaryota
Description: bacterial SSU rRNA
Rfam family: Eukaryotic small subunit ribosomal RNA
Source: RNAcentral
AGGGCACCACCAGGAGUGGAGCCUGCGGCUUAAUUUGACUCAACACGGGAAAACUCACCCGGCCCGGACACUGGAAGGAUUGACAGAUUGAGAGCUCUUUCUUGAUUCAGUGGGUGGUGGUGCAUGGCCGUUCUUAGUUGGUGGAGCGAUUUGUCUGGUUAAUUCCGAUAACGAACGAGACUCUAGCCUACUAAAUAGACUGCUCAACUUUAUAGCUGCAUCACCUUGCGGUUGCUUCGGUGGCCGUAAGGCUGUGGUGACGUUGGCAGUGCUUCUUAGAGGGACAGGCGGCGGUUCAGCCGCACGAAACAGAGCAAUGACAGGUCUGUGAUGCCCUUAGACGUCCAGGGCCGCACGCGCGCUACACUGAAGUGAUCAGCGUGCAAUUAACGUUUCCUACUCCGUCAGGAGUGGGUAACCCGUUGAACCUUCUUCGUGAUUGGGAUAGGGGAUUGUAAUUAUUCCCCUUGAACGAGGAAUUCCCAGUAAGCGCAAGUCAUAAGCUUGCGUUGAUACGUC